GUUGAACGCUGGCGGCAUGCUUUACACAUGCAAGUCGAACGGCAGCGCGGGCUUCGGCCUGGCGGCGAGUGGCGAACGGGUGAGUAAUGCAUCGGAACGUGCCCAGUAGUGGGGGAUAGCCCGGCGAAAGCCGGAUUAAUACCGCAUACGACCUGAGGGUGAAAGCGGGGGACCGAAAGGCCUCGCGCUAUUGGAGCGGCCGAUGUCGGAUUAGCUAGUUGGUGGGGUAAAGGCUUACCAAGGCGACGAUCCGUAGCUGGUCUGAGAGGACGACCAGCCACACUGGGACUGAGACACGGCCCAGACUCCUACGGGAGGCAGCAGUGGGGAAUUUUGGACAAUGGGGGCAGCCCUGAUCCAGCCAUGCCGCGUGCGGGAAGAAGGCCUUCGGGUUGUAAACCGCUUUUGUUCGGGAAGAAAUCCUCUGGGCUAAUACCCCGGGGGGAUGACGGUACCGGAAGAAUAAGCACCGGCUAACUACGUG
This 484-nucleotide ribosomal RNA is filed under the name uncultured bacterium. Its description in RNAcentral is "partial 16S ribosomal RNA". It matches the Rfam family "Bacterial small subunit ribosomal RNA", at positions 28 to 507 of the family's 1533-position model. The record is from RNAcentral.